This 516-nucleotide ribosomal RNA is filed under the name uncultured bacterium. RNAcentral's name for it is "bacterial SSU rRNA". It matches the Rfam family "Bacterial small subunit ribosomal RNA", at positions 8 to 518 of the family's 1533-position model. The record is from RNAcentral.
AGAGUUGAUAUGGCUCAGGAUGAACGCUGGCGGCAGGCUUAACACAUGCAAGUCGAGGGGCAGCGGGAUGUAGCAAUACAUUGCCGGCGACCGGCGGAUGGGUGCGUAACGCGUAUGCAACCUACCUUAUACAGGGGAAUAACCUUUCGAAAGGGAGACUAACACCCCAUAGUAUUGAUUUAAGGCAUCUUAGAUUAAUUAAAUAUUUAUAGGUAUAAGAUGGGCAUGCGUAUGAUUAGCUAGUUGGUAAGGUAACGGCUUACCAAGGCGACGAUCAUUAGGGGUUCUGAGAGGAAGGUCCCCCACACUGGUACUGAGACACGGACCAGACUCCUACGGGAGGCAGCAGUGAGGAAUAUUGGUCAAUGGGCGCAAGCCUGAACCAGCCAUGCCGCGUGCAAGGAAGACGGCCUUAUGGGUUGUAAACUGCUUUUACAUAAGACUAACCGUAUAUUUGCGAAUAUACCUGAAUGUAUUAUGAGAAUAAGGAUCGGCUAACUCCGUGCCAGCCGCGGC